UUAAGUGACUAAGCGUACACGGUGGAUGCCUAGGCAGUCAGAGGCGAUGAAGGGCGUGCUAAUCUGCGAAAAGCGUCGGUAAGGUGAUAUGAACCGUUACAACCGGCGAUACCCGAAUGGGGAAACCCAGUGUGUUUCGACACACUAUCAUGUCAUGAAUACAUAGUGGCAUGAGGCGAACCGGGGGAACUGAAACAUCUAAGUACCCCGAGGAAAAGAAAUCAACCGAGAUUCCCCCAGUAGCGGCGAGCGAACGGGGAGGAGCCCAGAACCUGAAUCGGCUUGUGUGUUAGUGGAAGCGUCUGGAAAGUCGCGCAGCAAAGGGUGAUAGCCCCGUACACUAAAAUGCACAGGUCGUGAGUUCGAUGAGUAGGGCGGGACACGUGACAUCCUGUCUGAAUAUGGGGGGACCAUCCUCCAAGGCUAAAUACUCCUGACUGACCGAUAGUGAACCAGUACCGUGAGGGAAAGGCGAAAAGAACCCCGGCGAGGGGAGUGAAAUAGAACCUGAAACCGUGUACGUACAAGCAGUGGGAGCACCUUCGUGGUGUGACUGCGUACCUUUUGUAUAAUGGGUCAGCGACUUAUAUUUUGUAGCAAGGUUAACCGUAUAGGGGAGCCGUAGGGAAACCGAGUCUUAACUGGGCGAAUAGUUGCAAGGUAUAGACCCGAAACCCGGUGAUCUAGCCAUGGGCAGGUUGAAGGUUGGGUAACACUAACUGGAGGACCGAACCGACUAAUGUUGAAAAAUUAGCGGAUGACUUGUGGCUGGGGGUGAAAGGCCAAUCAAACCGGGAGAUAGCUGGUUCUCCCCGAAAGCUAUUUAGGUAGCGCCUCGUGAACUCAUCUUCGGGGGUAGAGCACUGUUUCGGCUAGGGGGCCAUCCCGGCUUACCAAACCGAUGCAAACUCCGAAUACCGAAGAAUGUUAUCACGGGAGACACACGGCGGGUGCUAACGUCCGUCGUGAAGAGGGAAACAACCCAGACCGCCAGCUAAGGUCCCAAAGUCAUGGUUAAGUGGGAAACGAUGUGGGAAGGCAUAGACAGCCAGGAUGUUGGCUUAGAAGCAGCCAUCAUUUAAAGAAAGCGUAAUAGCUCACUGGUCGAGUCGGCCUGCGCGGAAGAUGUAACGGGGCUAAACCAUGCACCGAAGCUGCGGCAGCGACGCUUAGGCGUUGUUGGGUAGGGGAGCGUUCUGUAAGCCGUUGAAGGUGGCCUGUGAGGGUUGCUGGAGGUAUCAGAAGUGCGAAUGCUGACAUAAGUAACGAUAAAGCGGGUGAAAAGCCCGCUCGCCGGAAGACCAAGGGUUCCUGUCCAACGUUAAUCGGGGCAGGGUGAGUCGACCCCUAAGGCGAGGCUGAAAAGCGUAGUCGAUGGGAAACAGGUUAAUAUUCCUGUACUUGGUGUUACUGCGAAGGGGGGACGGAGAAGGCUAGGCUAGCCGGGCGACGGUUGUCCCGGUUUAAGCGUGUAGGGGGUGUGACCUGGUAAAUCCGGUUGCAUAUCAACCCUGAGGCGUGAUGACGAUGCACUACGGUGCAGAAGUAGUUGAUGCCCUGCUUCCAGGAAAAGCCUCUAAGCUCCAGGUAACAUUGAAUCGUACCCCAAACCGACACAGGUGGUCAGGUAGAGAAUACCAAGGCGCUUGAGAGAACUCGGGUGAAGGAACUAGGCAAAAUGGUGCCGUAACUUCGGGAGAAGGCACGCUGGCAUGUAGGUGAAGUCCCUUGCGGAUGGAGCUGAAGCCAGUCGAAGAUACCAGCUGGCUGCAACUGUUUAAUAAAAACACAGCACUGUGCAAACACGAAAGUGGACGUAUACGGUGUGACGCCUGCCCGGUGCUGGAAGGUUAAUUGAUGGGGUCAGCCGCAAGGCGAAGCUCUUGAUCGAAGCCCCAGUAAACGGCGGCCGUAACUAUAACGGUCCUAAGGUAGCGAAAUUCCUUGUCGGGUAAGUUCCGACCUGCACGAAUGGCGUAAUGAUGGCCAGGCUGUCUCCACCCGAGACUCAGUGAAAUUGAACUCGCUGUGAAGAUGCAGUGUACCCGCGGCAAGACGGAAAGACCCCGUGAACCUUUACUAUAGCUUGACACUGAACAUUGAGCCUUGAUGUGUAGGAUAGGUGGGAGGCUUUGAAGCGUGGACGCCAGUCUGCGUGGAGCCAUCCUUGAAAUACCACCCUUUAAUGUUUGAUGUUCUAACUCGGCCCCAUAAUCUGGGGUGAGGACAGUGUCUGGUGGGUAGUUUGACUGGGGCGGUCUCCUCCCAAAGAGUAACGGAGGAGCACGAAGGUUAGCUAAUCACGGUCGGACAUCGUGAGGUUAGUGCAAAGGCAUAAGCUAGCUUGACUGCGAGAGUGACGGCUCGAGCAGGUACGAAAGUAGGUCUUAGUGAUCCGGUGGUUCUGAAUGGAAGGGCCAUCGCUCAACGGAUAAAAGGUACUCCGGGGAUAACAGGCUGAUACCGCCCAAGAGUUCAUAUCGACGGCGGUGUUUGGCACCUCGAUGUCGGCUCAUCACAUCCUGGGGCUGAAGUAGGUCCCAAGGGUAUGGCUGUUCGCCAUUUAAAGUGGUACGCGAGCUGGGUUUAGAACGUCGUGAGACAGUUCGGUCCCUAUCUGCCGUGGGCGUUGGAAGAUUGAGAGGGGUUGCUCCUAGUACGAGAGGACCGGAGUGAACGCACCACUGGUGUUCGGGUUGUCAUGCCAAUGGCAUUGCCCGGUAGCUAAGUGCGGAAAAGAUAAGCGCUGAAAGCAUCUAAGCGCGAAACUUGCCUCAAGAUGAGUCUUCCCUGGACCUUUAAGGUCCCUGAAGGAACGUUUAAGACUAAGACGUUGAUAGGCUGGGUGUGUAAGUGCAGCGAUGCAUUGAGCUAACCAGUACUAAUGAUCCGUGAGGCUUAACCUU
This 2906-nucleotide ribosomal RNA is filed under the name Serratia marcescens. RNAcentral describes it as "23S ribosomal RNA". It matches the Rfam family "Bacterial large subunit ribosomal RNA". The record is from RNAcentral. Lineage: Bacteria; Pseudomonadati; Pseudomonadota; Gammaproteobacteria; Enterobacterales; Yersiniaceae.